Molecule: long non-coding RNA, 929 nt
Organism: Bos taurus (domestic cattle)
Lineage: Eukaryota; Metazoa; Chordata; Mammalia; Artiodactyla; Bovidae
Source: Ensembl
GGGGGUGGCCCGGGCUGAGCGAUUGAGGACGAGCCUCAGGGUAGGGGCGGGGUCGGCGGGCGGGCUAAGCUAGGCGAGCCGGGCACCGCCAGGGAUAAAUGACGCGGCUGGGACAGGGCGUCAUUUGGUGGAAUGCUAGCCUACGAGAUAGAGUCCAGAAGAGCGGGCCCGAAGACUGCUCGAGGGACCGGGGAAGGAUGACUGGCAGCUCCAGGACGAGGAAGGAGGGAGGAGACGACGGGCGUAGGCUUACUCUUCAGGACAUCCUGACAGCAUCCAAGAGAAUGGAGGGGGCCUGCAUCCUGCUCACUGGAGGAUCUCUCUCUUCAAGGCUCAUCUGCCUCCGGAGCAGUAAGCCCCUUCUUCCAGGCAGUGGAUAGAGUGGGUCUCUAUGGCCUCACUGGGCUACAGGAACCCUGAUGGAUGGGUGGGUCCUCCACACACCUCACUGGACCAGAGCUUGGACACCUAGAAAGCUUUGGCCCCAGGCCACAGAAGGGACUCACAGCCUUCAUCCAUCAGUCCAGCAUCAGUAUUCUAACAAUCCCAAGCCACAUUUACUGAACUCAUGUUCUGCUCCAGUAACCACAUCAUUCCCCCUUUUACCUUUAUUGGCCUCCCGUCUUUAAAAUAAAAUCUGAGAUCCACACCAUGACUUCCAAAGCCCUGCUUGGUGUUCCAGUCUCUCUCCAACUUUCUCCUUUGCCCAUUACAAUCUGACCAAGAUGUUCUCUCUCUAUUCUAUGAACACAUCUGUGUUUUUCUGCCUUUGGGUCUUUGUCCAGGCCUCUCUCUACUUGGAACUAGAUUGUAAGCCCUGUAAUGGCAAGGACUGUGUUCACUUUUGUUUAUCUCUAAAUCCUCACAUGUUUAAACAAUAGACAAUAAUGCCAGCUCUAACAGGUCUUAAUAAACAGUCCUGGAAUAAA